This 479-nucleotide ribosomal RNA is filed under the name uncultured bacterium. Its description in RNAcentral is "partial 16S ribosomal RNA". It matches the Rfam family "Bacterial small subunit ribosomal RNA", at positions 28 to 507 of the family's 1533-position model. The record is from RNAcentral.
GAUGAACGCUAGCGGGAGGCCUAACACAUGCAAGCCGAGCGGUAUUGUUUCUUCGGACAUGAGAGAGCGGCGUACGGGUGCGUAACACGUGUGCAACCUGCCUUUAUCUGGGGGAUAGCCUUUCGAAAGGAAGAUUAAUACUCCAUAAUAUAUUGAACGGCAUCGUUUAAUAUUGAAAGCUCCGGCGGAUAGAGAUGGGCACGCGCAAGAUUAGCUAGUUGGUGAGGUAACGGCUCACCAAGGCGAUGAUCUUUAGGGGGCCUGAGAGGGUGAUCCCCCACACUGGUACUGAGACACGGACCAGACGCCUACGGGAGGCAGCAGUGAGGAAUAUUGGUCAAUGGGUGCAAGCCUGAACCAGCCAUCCCGCGUGAAGGACGACUGCCCUAUGGGUUGUAAACUUCUUUUGUAUAGGGAUAAACCUACCCUCGAGAGGGUAGCUGAAGGUACUAUACGAAUAAGCACCGGCUAACUCCGUG